AUACGUAGGGUGCGAGCGUUGUCCGGAAUGAUUGGGCGUAAAGGGCGCGUAGGCGGCCGCUUAAGUCUGGAGUGAAAGUCCUGUUUUCAAGAUGGGAAUUGCUUUGGAUACUGGGGGGCUUGAGUGCAGGAGAGGUUAUCGGAAUUCCCGGUGUAGCGGUGAAAUGCGUAGAGAUCGGUUGGAACACCAGUGGCGAAGGCGGUUACCUCGACUGUAACGGACGUUGAGCCUCCAAAUAGUGGGCAGAAGACAGGAUUUGGUCCCCGGGGAGUCCACGCCGUAAACGAUGAAUACUAGGUGUAGGGUUUCUAUAGAGAGUCGGUGCCGCAGCAAACGCAAUAAGGAUUCCAGCUGGGGGCUUCGUUCGCACGACUGCAACUGAAAGGAAUUGUCGGGG
RNAcentral lists this ribosomal RNA (397 nucleotides) under uncultured bacterium. RNAcentral describes it as "partial 16S ribosomal RNA". It matches the Rfam family "Bacterial small subunit ribosomal RNA", at positions 523 to 918 of the family's 1533-position model. The record is from RNAcentral.